AGGGAUAUUACCGAGUUUCAACUCCCAAACCCCUGUGAACAUACCACUUGUUGCCUCGGCGGAUCAGCCCGCUCCCGGUAAAACGGGACGGCCCGCCAGAGGACCCCUAAACUCUGUUUCUAUAUGUAACUUCUGAGUAAAACCAUAAAUAAAUCAAAACUUUCAACAACGGAUCUCUUGGUUCUGGCAUCGAUGAAGAACGCAGCAAAAUGCGAUAAGUAAUGUGAAUUGCAGAAUUCAGUGAAUCAUCGAAUCUUUGAACGCACAUUGCGCCCGCCAGUAUUCUGGCGGGCAUGCCUGUUCGAGCGUCAUUUCAACCCUCAAGCACAGCUUGGUGUUGGGACUCGCGUUAAUUCGCGUUCCUCAAAUUGAUUGGCGGUCACGUCGAGCUUCCAUAGCGUAGUAGUAAAACCCUCGUUACUGGUAAUCGUCGCGGCCACGCCGUUAAACCCCAACUUCUGAAUGUUGACCUCGGAUCAGGUAGGAAUACCCGCUGAACUUAAGCAUACAUA
This 512-nucleotide small RNA is filed under the name Fusarium oxysporum. Its description in RNAcentral is "eukaryotic LSU rRNA". The stretch from base 158 to 311 matches the Rfam family "5.8S ribosomal RNA". The record is from RNAcentral. Lineage: Eukaryota; Fungi; Ascomycota; Sordariomycetes; Hypocreales; Nectriaceae.